RNAcentral lists this long non-coding RNA (740 nucleotides) under Pan troglodytes (chimpanzee). RNAcentral describes it as "long non-coding RNA NONPTRT006983". The record is from RNAcentral. Lineage: Eukaryota; Metazoa; Chordata; Mammalia; Primates; Hominidae.
UAAGAACUGUCUGUGAUAUUUGACCAGAGGUGCAGCCUAGCUGCCAUUCUUCCUCACCCUGUGGAAGACAUUAAAGGGAGAAUGAAAGUAGCUGUAGAAUUACCUUUGGGGGAAGAAGCCAUUUGGUGAACUUGGCAAACACCCGUGUUUGAGGGGUCACCCAGGGUGUCAUGAGCCGGGCUGAAGGGGAUGGAUUAAUUACUUGUCUUGUUUGCUUGUUUCUGUUGUAAGUCAGGGCCCCUCAGCAGAAGGCAGAACAGAACCGAGUUCCUUUAGAAUGCUGGUUUUUGUGUGGAGUGAGGAAGGACCGUGAGUGUGGUCAGUUUCCAACCUGACAGGUCCUGCUACCGUUGGCCAGGACUGCAGCUUGUUACUUUGACCCUGGGAAGAAGGUAAGUGUUCCCAAGAAAAGGGACGUCCCAAAGCGGCGCCAUCCCGAUGGCACGUGUGCUGCUCGACUCCCUGCCGGGUAGGUCCAUCCCGACGGCGCAUGUGCCCCUCAGCUCCCCCCACCGGGUAGGUCCAUCCCAACAGCACCUGUGCUGCUCAACUCCCUGCCGGGUAGGUCCAUCCCGACGGUGCAUGUGCCCCUCAGCUCCCCGCCGGGUAGGCCCAUCCCGACAGCACCUGUGCCCCUCAGCUCCCCACCGGGUAGGUCCAUCCCGACAGCACCUGUGCCCCUCACCUCCCUGCCGGGUAGGUCCAUCCCGACAGCACCUGUGCCCCUCACCUCCCCGCCG